RNAcentral lists this transfer RNA (65 nucleotides) under Mileewa margheritae. RNAcentral describes it as "tRNA-Val". Lineage: Eukaryota; Metazoa; Arthropoda; Insecta; Hemiptera; Cicadellidae. The record is from RNAcentral.
CAGAUUGUAGCUUAUAUUAAAGCUUAUUAUUUACAUUAAUAAGAAAAAAAAAUAUUUCUUUCUGA